Molecule: transfer RNA, 74 nt
Filed under: Strongylocentrotus purpuratus (purple sea urchin)
Lineage: Eukaryota; Metazoa; Echinodermata; Echinoidea; Camarodonta; Strongylocentrotidae
Rfam family: tRNA
About the family: Transfer RNA (tRNA) molecules are approximately 80 nucleotides in length. Their secondary structure includes four short double-helical elements and three loops (D, anti-codon, and T loops). Further hydrogen bonds mediate the characteristic L-shaped molecular structure. tRNAs have two regions of fundamental functional importance: the anti-codon, which is responsible for specific mRNA codon recognition, and the 3' end, to which the tRNAs corresponding amino acid is attached (by aminoacyl-tRNA synthetases). tRNAs cope with the degeneracy of the genetic code in two manners: having more than one tRNA (with a specific anti-codon) for a particular amino acid; and 'wobble' base-pairing, i.e. permitting non-standard base-pairing at the 3rd anti-codon position.
Source: Rfam by way of RNAcentral
GGACCAAUGGACCAUGGUGGUAGAGUCGCUGCCCGGCAAGCAGUAGAUUGCAGGUUCAAACCCUGCUAGUUCCA